AUGGUCAGCGGGAGCAAGUCUCCGAACAAGGAGGGGUGGGUCCACGGCGGCCAUGAUCUCCCACUGAGCUUCAGCUACGUCUCAUCCAACAACGACGAUUUCAGUGGCAGUUACCAGACCAACGAGAGUGAUCGUCACAGCGCCAACAGGAAGCUCUCCACUUCGGUGUUCGAGUGCUCGUCGCACGACGUGCUGGAAAACGCACCGGAGACGACCCUCGGCGCAGCCGCCCUGGCAUCGCACUCCGCGAACCUCGUCGUCUUCGCCGAGAAGCUCGCCAUCUCGCCCCGGCACAUCUGCCCCGACGAGAGGGAUGCGCUGUACGGCAUGCUGACUGACAGUAUCCGGGCGUCCCUCCGAGCACGCCUAAGGCCGCCGUCGUCCGCAGCUCGGAAGAAGGGCACGCCCUGCGAUCGCGUCCUGGCCGCCGGGUGGGCUGACACGGUGCAGGGGAUCCUCGGAUGGCUAGCACCGGUCGCCCACAACACUGUGCGGUGGCGGUCCGAGAGGAGCUUCGAGCAGCGGAACGUCGGCUCCGGCACGAGCGUUCUGCUCCUGCAGACGCUGCACUUCGCUGACCGGGACAAGACCGAAGAUGCCAUCAUCGAGCUGCUUGUUGGGCUGAAUUACCUGUGGAGAUACGGGACUCAGCUCUCCGCAAAGCCAAAAUUGGAGUCAGUGGGUGGCGAUGUUUACCAUGAUCGAGCUGAUUACAUAGGAUGA
Molecule: ribosomal RNA, 723 nt
Filed under: Triticum aestivum (bread wheat)
Lineage: Eukaryota; Viridiplantae; Streptophyta; Magnoliopsida; Poales; Poaceae
Description: partial small subunit ribosomal RNA
Source: RNAcentral